GACGAACGCUGGCGGCAUGCCUAAUACACGCAAGUCGAGCGAACAGAUGAAGUGCUUGCACUUCUGACGUUAGCGGCGAACGGGUGAGUAACACGUAAGGAAUCUACCUAUAAGCGGGGGAUAACAUUCGGAAACGGGUGCUAAUACCGCAUAAUAUCUUCUUCCGCAUGGAAGGAGAUUGAAAGACGGCUCUGCUGUCACUUCUAGCUGACCUUGCGGUGCAUUAGUUAGUUGGUGGGGUAACGGCCUACCAAGACGAUGAUGCAUAGCCGACCUGAGAGGGUGAUCGGCCACAUUGGGACUGAGACACGGCCCAAACUCCUACGGGAGGCAGCAGUAGGAAAUCUUCCGCAAUGGGCGAAAGCCUGACGGAGCAAUGCCGCGUGAGUGAAGAAGGCCUUCGGGUCGUAAAACUCUGUUAUAACAGAAGAACAAAUUGUAGAGUAACUGCUACAGUCUUGACGGUAUCUUAUCAGAAAGCCACGGCUAACUACGUGCCAGCCGCCGCGGUAA
RNAcentral lists this ribosomal RNA (513 nucleotides) under uncultured bacterium. RNAcentral describes it as "partial 16S ribosomal RNA". It matches the Rfam family "Bacterial small subunit ribosomal RNA", at positions 28 to 523 of the family's 1533-position model. The record is from RNAcentral.